GGCAGCUGCGGCUACCGCUGCCCCUCCGUCUGUCGGCACGCCCGUCUACCCGCAGUAUGAGCGGCCAGCGCGUCUACAGCACGUCGGUCACCGGCUCCCGCGAAAUCAAGUCACAGCAGAGCAAGGUGACCCGCAUCCUGGAUGGGAAACGCAUCCAGUGCCAACUAGUGGACAUCUCCCAGGACAAUGCCCUGCAGGAUGAGAUGUGAGCCUUGGUGGGCAACCCCAGGGCCACCCCACCCCAGAUUGUCAACGGAGACCAGUGCUGUGAGGACUAUGAGCUCUUCGUGGAAGCUGUGGAGCAAAACACACUGCAGAAGUUCCUGAAGCUGGCCUGAAUCGAGCCGGCCCACGGUUCUCCCACUUGACUCCACCACCACACUCCCCUCUAACUGUAGCUCCCUCUCCUCUAUUCAAAGGCAACAUUCCUUACUGACCAGUCGCAGAAAUUGUCUUAAGCAACAGCUCCAAAUGUUGGCUGUCCCCAGCCAGGUCUUGGGGUUGCCACCCUGCCUGGCACUGGCUGAUGGGCACCUCUGUUGGUUCCAUUAGCCAGAGCUCUACCAAAGGUCCCGCAAUCCCCCUCCCAGGAGCACCCUAGAGACAAUUAAAUACCCUUUUCCACUGGCAAAAAAAAAAAAAAAAAAAA
Molecule: RNA transcript, 649 nt
Organism: Carlito syrichta (Philippine tarsier)
Lineage: Eukaryota; Metazoa; Chordata; Mammalia; Primates; Tarsiidae
Gene name: SH3 domain-binding glutamic acid-rich-like protein 3 pseudogene
Exons: 2
Source: RefSeq, a predicted model, not a curated record